RNAcentral lists this long non-coding RNA (1316 nucleotides) under Nicotiana benthamiana. RNAcentral's name for it is "long non-coding RNA (NBEN_LNC040770)". Lineage: Eukaryota; Viridiplantae; Streptophyta; Magnoliopsida; Solanales; Solanaceae. The record is from RNAcentral.
CCUUUGCGUGCUCAAAGACAGAGUCAGCCUUUGGACGGUGCCAUUUGCUGACUUGGACUCUCUCUCUCCUCUCUGAUUAGCUGAUGGAGUAUACAUUUCUAUAUUUGUCUUUCAACACACAGCUUUUUUAGCUUUUUCUAACUUUCAAACCAUCACCCACCCCUCUCUCUCGGACCAGUGAACAAUUCCUGUCUUUACCGUUUGAAUUUUCUGCUUCUCUCUAUCUCGGAGGUUGCAACUACCCAUGCUUAAUUUUUUUCUCCUUUCACUAUACCAACAGUAUUUCCCCUCAUCCUAGUUUCUGCAAAAUUCCUUUUUUUAUUUACCUCUUGAAAAUUAAAAACUUGAAGAAAGGGCUGUUUGGUUGUUGGGUUUAUGUUGUGUAGUUAAAAUAUUGACUUUUGGAUAUCCGUUUAGUUGGGUCAACCACUUUCGCCUUUUGCUUCAGAAUUUGCUGCUGCCAUAUCGACCCUUUUGGGAUUCAAAAGCUUGACGAUUUGUUCCUAGGGUUUAUGGAUGUGCCCUUUUUCCCCCUCUUUCGUACAUGAUUGGGGCUCGAGUUAUCAUUAGGUUAGCUCUUUUCCAUGUUUACCCUUGCUUGCCUACCUUCUUUUUCCCUUCUUGCUAUUAUUAAUUGUUGUUGUUGGCGUUGAAUUUGUGCCGAAGCACGUUGAAGCAAGGCUAAAUUUUAAGUCUUUGUAGACUUGGUAAAUAGAAUUUGUUCCGUGUAGUUGCUCUUGUUCUGGUUGGUAAGUGGUAACUGGUAACUGAGAAAUGAAAUGAUUUUUUCUUUUUCGUACUCACAUCUCGUGAUGAUUAGUAUAAAAUUAAAUGAUAGUAUUACUUACUGGUUUCUGAGUGGAUAUCUUUGCAUUAUUUUAAAAAAAUAAUUCUUCUAAUUUUAUGAGCUUCCGAUUGAGGUAUAGUAGUUGUGUUUUUUGUUUUACGAGUUUCAUAAUUUGAUGCCUUCCACUCACUAAGUUGAUAAUUUCAUCUUUUAGAAGUAUCCGAGGGGCAACCGGAAAUAGCUUCUCUACCACAUUCAUAAAGUAGGGGUAAGAUUUACAUACAUACUACCCUCCCCAAAUUCCACUUGUGAAAAAUUGGGAAUAUACUGGCUAUGUUGUUGUUGUAAUAUGUACCAAGGCAAUUUUACGCACUAAAUGAUUUUCUUGCUUAUUAUAACUAUUUAAUAGCAGACUUCAAAUUUAGUUUACCCCAAAAAUGCCGAGAAGACAUGUUUGUAUAUGCAACUGAUGCUGAUUGCAAUCUUAGAGGGUGUGAUAAUUACAUUUCUGGCUUAGUGUACCAUGUCA